ACGCUCGACACCUACGGGGGGCAGCAGUGGGGAAUAUUGGGCAAUGGGCGCAAGCCUGACCCAGCAACGCCGCGUGAAGGAAGAAGGCUUUCGGGUUGUAAACUUCUUUUGUCAGGGACGAAGACGUGACGGUACCUGACGAAUAAGCUCCGGCUAACUACGUGUCAGCAGCCGCGGUAAUCUGAGCGGGCUGGCAAGGC
This 200-nucleotide ribosomal RNA is filed under the name uncultured bacterium. Its description in RNAcentral is "partial 16S ribosomal RNA". It matches the Rfam family "Bacterial small subunit ribosomal RNA", at positions 328 to 539 of the family's 1533-position model. The record is from RNAcentral.